Molecule: long non-coding RNA, 1624 nt
Filed under: Nicotiana benthamiana
Lineage: Eukaryota; Viridiplantae; Streptophyta; Magnoliopsida; Solanales; Solanaceae
Description: long non-coding RNA (NBEN_LNC025076)
Source: RNAcentral
CUCUGACAUUCGAGAGACUUCUCACCUACUCUCCUCCUUCUCUCUACUUUCUCUCUCUAUAAUUUGUAUGAUUCAUCCGUUUAAUCUUGAUGUUAACACUAAGUGGGAUUAUACUGGGUUGUUGUUGUUGUUGUUAUAAUUAUGUACAUGAAUUUUUUACAUUCCAAAAUCAUAUAUGUGCGUGUGUCCACAUAUGCAAAAAAGGACUGAAAAUUUUAAGUCAAAAUACAAUCAUACAUCAAGCACAUAUAAGGUAAGGAAUGAUGAGAAAUGAUUUAGAAUUUCAGAGGUCAGAAACUGUAAAAAGAAAGUGACUUUUACACGUAGUAUAAUGGACUUGUUCACUUGCAUCGACAUUCCUAUUUGAUGUUUCAACCUUUUAAUCUUUAAAAGUGAAUUAAAAUACAAACUCAAUCACUCCUAUGUUAAUCAUCUGUCCACUCACCUAAGCAAGUGAAAAGCAUAAGUAUUGGCUGACAUACACAUUUGAAUUGUUGGAAGUGUAACACAGAACCCUAUAAAUCCUGAUAUCAUCCAAGGACACCCGAUGCAUUCUUUAAUCUGCUUCUUCUUUCCGCGUAAUGCUUAAUUUCAACAUAAAGCUAUCACAUUUUAAUGCAAAUUGGCAUGCGUCUCACACAAACAUCAGGCAGGUUCAAACAUAUAAAAAUUUAAACUCUUAACACAUUAACAAUUGCUACUUCGUCUUUCAGCAUAGAACAUACAGUAUCUAAUCGCAUAGAAGAACAAAAGUUCUAAGCAUCGAACUGAAGAAUUAUCAACUAAUCCACCUCGUUUAGGAGUAAAUAAUAGUAUUAAUUGAUGAUAUUGAACAUCAAUUAUUAGAGCACUAGGGUUUAAGAUUGAGAAUGUGACCUGUCCGAACACGGGUAUCAAGCUCCUUGUGCUGAAGGAGCUUCUUCCGAUAGUCGGCGAGUGCCGUACGGCGUCUGACGGCUUCUUCUUCGGUCGACAUAUCGGAAUUUGCUCUAAGAUCUGUGGAAACUGCUUUCUGAUAUCGGUAGUGAACUAGCUCUCAACUUGAGGAACAAGCAAUCUAUAGAUCCCUUGUUCAGAAAGUACAAUACUUUGAGCACACCCUUGUUUGAAAAUAUAUAAUCUGCAAUUAAUUAUUAUUCCGACGUAUAGUAGGGGAAGAUGUACAGGGCCAACUUCUUGGGCUCAGGCAAGUCAUCUUUAUUCAAGCCCAAUUAGGUAUCUGAGCCCAAUAAUUAAAGCCAAACGAAGGGCAAUAAUAAAUGGGAGUUUUAUCUUCCUAUACCAUAUAUGAAAUCUUAUUACCAUUAUUGCUAAGGUUUGAGUUAAUUACAUUUUAGCAUACUAAAUUAUUAUUUAUAUUCCAUAAUUCAAAUUAGGAAUAUAAUUAUAGAUGGGGCUUUUGAUUUGCUACAAUCACUUAAUCCGUCUAUUUACCUAAAGCUAUAUAAACCACACCAACCAGCCAAAAACACAUAUUAUGAAGAAUCAAGGAUCGAACCUGUAAAUAAAGAAUGGAUGCACCCAUCAAAAGCAAGAGAGGGGCUAAGGACAUGUGAUUCAUCGCCAUAUUUGGCUUUUUUCUAGAGCUCUCCAAUUGUGGUAUAAAAUGCAGGAACUCCCGAAA